GCCGACGUAGCUUAGCUCGGGAGUAGCUCAACCUGCGGGUUGAGUGCCGCUUACCGAAAGCGCGGGACUGAAGGCGUUACCGCGGCCCGCGGAACGUGUGAAAUCCCGUUGUCGCGUGUUCAAAUCACGCCGUCGGCACCA
Molecule: transfer RNA, 141 nt
Filed under: Deltaproteobacteria bacterium
Lineage: Bacteria; Pseudomonadati; Myxococcota; Myxococcia
Description: tRNA-OTHER
Rfam family: tRNA
About the family: Transfer RNA (tRNA) molecules are approximately 80 nucleotides in length.
Source: RNAcentral